RNAcentral lists this microRNA precursor (129 nucleotides) under Loxodonta africana (African savanna elephant). RNAcentral's name for it is "miRNA (ENSLAFG00000025517.1)". The record is from RNAcentral. Lineage: Eukaryota; Metazoa; Chordata; Mammalia; Proboscidea; Elephantidae.
AGAAAGUGUUAACACAGAAGUUAAAGAUGUAGAUUUCUAGGACUCAUCCCCAGAGACUUCUGUUCAGGAAGUCUGGGGCUGGAGCCCAGGCAUCUGCAUUUUAACAACGCCCCAAGUGAUUCUGAUGCA